RNAcentral lists this ribosomal RNA (417 nucleotides) under Sulfitobacter sp. HI0129. RNAcentral describes it as "bacterial LSU rRNA". It matches the Rfam family "Bacterial large subunit ribosomal RNA", at positions 508 to 927 of the family's 2925-position model. Lineage: Bacteria; Pseudomonadati; Pseudomonadota; Alphaproteobacteria; Rhodobacterales; Roseobacteraceae. The record is from RNAcentral.
GGAAAGGUGAAAAGCACCCCGACGAGGGGAGUGAAACAGUACCUGAAACCGAACGCCUACAAUCAGUUGGAGGGCCCUUGCGGCCUGACAGCGUACCUUUUGUAUAAUGGGUCAUCGACUUGGUCUCACGAGCAAGCUUAAGCCGUUAGGUGUAGGCGCAGCGAAAGCGAGUCUUAAUAGGGCGUUGAGUUCGUGGGAUCAGACCCGAAACCGAGUGAUCUAGGCAUGACCAGGAUGAAGGUAAGGUAACACUUACUGGAGGUCCGAACCCACACCUGUUGAAAAAGGUCGGGAUGAGUUGUGCCUAGGGGUGAAAGGCCAAUCAAACUCGGAGAUAGCUGGUUCUCUGCGAAAUCUAUUUAGGUAGAGCGUCAUCCGAAUACCCUCGGGGGUAGAGCACUGGAUGGGUAAUGGGGC